GAGGGGAAAGAGGGAAGGAGAUUCCUGAUUCCUGCCUUGUGCAGGUGGCGCCCGCAGCUUGAGGAAACAGCAGCCUCCACCCCCUCAGCCCGGCGAUUGGCUGGUUUUUCUCAUUUUCCGGCGAGGAAGCGGAAAGGACAAGCGACAUCCCGGAGCUCAAUUGCACAAGUGGCCACCACCUCCGAUGCACAAGGGCGCUCAUCUGAAAAGAAAGCUUAGCCCCAGAGAAGUGGUGUGGAGCGCCGCGGGUAGUGCGGGUGUGAACAGCACGCGAGGGCACCGGGUCUCACAGAGAUGAUGAACUCUGUUUGAACCGAUCUCUCAUUAAGAGUUCUUAAGGUAAGAUUAAAAUCUUUACACUUCUCCA
Leopardus geoffroyi (Geoffroy's cat) is the source of this 367-nucleotide long non-coding RNA. RefSeq lists it as uncharacterized. The record is from RefSeq and is a predicted model, not a curated record. The transcript is spliced from 2 exons. Lineage: Eukaryota; Metazoa; Chordata; Mammalia; Carnivora; Felidae.